GGUGCAUACCUUGCCAAUUUUGAGACUCUGGAAGAGGCCAUGUUGAUGAAAUAUGAACUGCAACAGAUGAAAACAGGUGUAUUCAUCAUUAACGUUAUACUGUGUUUAUUCCAUAAUCAGACUAAGGAGAUGUGGGGUGAUUGCAAAUGAAAUAUUUAUUACGAUGACAGUAGUAUACUGCUGUUCAAAACUCGUAAAUCGAUGGACAAAAAAACAAAAUCGGGGUAACAAACUACAACUGAGGGAAACGCAUUAAAUAUAAGAGAACAAUGACACAACAUUAAAAUAACACCACAGAAACGACUAAGCAUUAGACAAAAUCCGAUGAGAAUAACAAAUAUAACAUCAAAACCAAAUACAUGAGUUAACAUUUGUAUUGAACCAUACGUCAUUAAGCAAUGAUCAAAAUAAAUGCUAUAAAAUAACUAUAAAAUGUCUAUGUGACAAAUUGUGAAACAAUCGUAAACAAAAACAAGCACUCGCCAGAUUUAUACGACCAAUGAACGAAAAAAAAAAAAAAAAAGGCAAACAAAAACUAACACCAACCACUGAAUGACAGGAUCUUGAUUUGAAACAGACCCAUUCAGAAUUUGACAGGAUUAUACAUGUAUAUGAACGCUCAACCCUGUCCCUUACCUUGUACAUUUGUAUUGGUUUAUCAUUGCAUUCCUCUUUGUAUACAUAUAACAUGUAUAAGUGCGCAAAAGAAAUCUUGGUUUCUUUAGAAAAAAUCAAAUCAUGUAUAUUGUGGCUAAACAUAAAAAUUGAAAGUUCAUUAUCUGGUUACAAAUAAUGAUAUGCCGUUGCACACACCACAUGAAGAAUUUUCUAUCAAAUAUCAGUGUUCAAACAAUGUUUUAUUUAGUUUUAUCUUGAGUAUAAGCUAAACAUGUAAUAUAUAUAUUUAUAGGUAUGAGCCAUGCCCGACGUCAAAUAGGUUGAGAAAUAAACAGAUAAUGUUUUAUUUCAUGCUCAUGUCAAUAUUUGUGAAUAAUGACUUUACAAUUCACGUAAAGGCUAUACAGUGGAACCUUGGCUAAACCGAACCUCUUCGGGACUUAAGAUUUUUUUCGGUUUUGAAGAUGUAUGGUUCUAUCUGGUUCACAACGCAUACAAUUUGAAAUGACGGUGCUUAAGAACAUGUUUGGUUUAUACAAGUUUUCGGUUUAUGCUGGAUUGGGUUUAGCCGGGUUUCACUGUAUAUCUUACUGACAAUGCAAUUCAUUAUAGCAAUGUCAGAUUUUAAAAGUAUAUAUUAAAUUAACACGUGGCUAUUUAUCAUAGGUUUACACUUCCAUGUUGCACGGCGGAACAUAAACAGAUACGUCCCUGGCGGAGACUGGAGGUGGAUACAGAACGGUAAAAUGACCAAGAUGACGUACAAAGCUUUCGGUACUAGACAACCCGAUGGAUCAAAUGCAGGACCAUAAGACUGCAUGAUGUUUUAUGCUGGAGAAAGAUAUAUCCUUCACGAUGUAUACUGUGACCGUCCUUCAUGGAGAAGUGGAUAUAUUUGUGA
RNAcentral lists this long non-coding RNA (1519 nucleotides) under Mytilus galloprovincialis (Mediterranean mussel). The record is from RNAcentral. Lineage: Eukaryota; Metazoa; Mollusca; Bivalvia; Mytilida; Mytilidae.